AGAGUUUGAUCAUGGCUCAGGAUGAACGCUAGCGGCAGGCCUAACACAUGCAAGUCGAGGGGUAACAUAGAAAAGCUUGCUUUUCUGAUGACGACCGGCGCACGGGUGCGUAACGCGUAUACAACCUACCUUUUAGCGGGGAAUAGCCCAGGGAAACUUGGAUUAAUGCCCCAUAGUAUAUGGACUUCUCCUGAAGUUUAUAUUAAACAUUUAUGGCUAUUAGAUGGGUAUGCGUCCUAUUAGUUAGUUGGUAAGGUAACGGCUUACCAAGGCAGCGAUAGGUAGGGGUCCUGAGAGGGAGAUCCCCCACACUGGUACUGAGACACGGACCAGACUCCUACGGGAGGCAGCAGUGAGGAAUAUUGGACAAUGGGCGAGAGCCUGAUCCAGCCAUGCCGCGUGCAGGAAGACUGCCCUAUGGGUUGUAAACUGCUUUUACAGAGGAAGAACCACCCCCACGUGUGGGGGUUUGACGGUACUCUGCGAAUAAGGAUCGGCUAACUCCGUGCCAGCAGCCGCGGUAAUACGGAGGAUCCAAGCGUUAUCCGGAAUCAUUGGGUUUAAAGGGUCCGUA
This 574-nucleotide ribosomal RNA is filed under the name uncultured bacterium. RNAcentral's name for it is "bacterial SSU rRNA". It matches the Rfam family "Bacterial small subunit ribosomal RNA", at positions 8 to 573 of the family's 1533-position model. The record is from RNAcentral.